GGGGGGGGGGGGGGGGGGGGGGGGGGGGGGGAGGGGGAGGGGAGCGGCGGGGAGCUGGCGCCGGGGGGGUUAGGGGAGGGCGGGGGGGUGACGCGUGGGGCACCUCCCUAUACAUCUGUGAUAACUUCGUGACACCUGAGCUCAUACAGGAUACUGUCUUGCCCCUCAUUUUUAACUAGUAACCGACUUUUUUGCCUUCCCUUCUCAAUGGCUCCGCGCCUCAUUAGCUAGUUGGUAAGGUAACGGCUUACCAAGGCGACUAUGCGUGGCCGACCUGAUAGGGUGAGCGGCCACAAUGGAACUGAGACACGGUCCAGACUCCUACGGGAGGCAGCAGUAGGGAAUCUUCCGCAAUGGGCGAAAGCCUGACGGAGCAACGCCGCGUGAGUGAUGAAGGUCUUCGGAUCGUAAAACUCUGUUAUUAGGCAAGAACAAAUGUGUAAGUAACUAUGCACGUCUUGACGGUACCUAAUCAGAAAGCCACGGCUAACUACGUG
Molecule: ribosomal RNA, 497 nt
Filed under: uncultured bacterium
Lineage: Bacteria
Description: partial 16S ribosomal RNA
Rfam family: Bacterial small subunit ribosomal RNA
Source: RNAcentral